GGUAGUUGGCUCAGUGGUAGAGUGCUUGCCUUGCAUGCAUGAGGCCCUGGGUUCGAUUCCUCAGCACCA
Dipodomys ordii (Ord's kangaroo rat) is the source of this 69-nucleotide non-coding RNA. The record is from Rfam. Lineage: Eukaryota; Metazoa; Chordata; Mammalia; Rodentia; Heteromyidae.